UGCCAGCCGCCGCGGUAAUACGGAGGGGGCGAGCGUUAUUCGGAAUUACUGGGCGUAAAGGGCGCGUAGGUGGCUAGAACAGUCGGGUGUGAAAGCCCCGGGCUUAACUCGGGAAUUGCAUUCGAUACUAUCUAGCUAGAGUGCAGUAGAGGGAAGCGGAAUUCCGGGUGUAGCGGUGAAAUGCGUAGAUAUCCGGAGGAACACCAGUGGCGAAGGCGGCUAACUGGCUCGGUACUGACGCUGAGAUGCGAAAGCGUGGGGAGCAAACAGGAUUAGAUA
Molecule: ribosomal RNA, 279 nt
Filed under: uncultured bacterium
Lineage: Bacteria
Description: partial 16S ribosomal RNA
Rfam family: Bacterial small subunit ribosomal RNA
Source: RNAcentral